CAGCCUUAGAGGAUCCUAAUCGAUGGCACGAGUUUUUUCAAAAUCGAUUCACAACGGCGGAGAUACUAUGAUGAUGUUGUAUAUGGUGGGCUUCUCUCUCUCCAUCUUGUCCAUGGCGAUCUUCGUAUGUGGAAAAUCCAAGAAAAAAAUGAAACAUGGUGGCCAUGGUGGUAGUUCUAGUGCCGAUGGCGGUGAUGGAGGAGGUGGCGGCAACGGAGGAGGUGGUGGCGGCAACGGAGGAGGUGGUGGCGGCAAUGGAGGAGGUGGUGGCGGCAACGGAGGAGGCUAGGAGGAGUAGUUAAUGCUUAACUAUAGUAUAAUUAUAUAAAUAAAAUAAGAAUUGUUAUUUUCUAUUUUGUGAAUGAUUGGUUUGAGCAAAGAUUGAUCAAUAUAUAUGCAAAUACACUACAAAAAAAAUAAACUUUUAACGACCGAUUUUGGCAUUAAUGUCUAAAUUUUCGCCUAUCUUUUGAAAUCAUUCUUUCGAAAACCCACAAAAAAUCAUAAAUCCCCAAUUCUGUUUGUCUAAUUUUUGUCUAUAUGGUCUUAAAAUUAUAAUUUUUAUUUAAAUAUUUUUUUUCGGGUUGGUAGAUCUCU
This 597-nucleotide long non-coding RNA is filed under the name Zostera marina. Its description in RNAcentral is "long non-coding RNA (ZMAR_LNC002571)". Lineage: Eukaryota; Viridiplantae; Streptophyta; Magnoliopsida; Alismatales; Zosteraceae. The record is from RNAcentral.